UACGGAGGGUGCAAGCGUUGCUCGGAAUUAUUGGGCGUAAAGGGUAGGUAGGUGGUCUCAUUUGUCUGGGGUGAAAGCCUUGAGCUUAACUCAAGAAGUGCCCCAGAAACGGUGAGACUGGAAUCCUGGAGAGGGUCGUGGAAUUCCCGGUGUAGCGGUGAAAUGCGUAGAGAUCGGGAGGAACACCAGAGGCGAAAGCGGCGACCUGGACAGGUACUGACACUCAACUACGAAAGCGUGGGGAGCAAACAGG
RNAcentral lists this ribosomal RNA (253 nucleotides) under uncultured bacterium. RNAcentral describes it as "partial 16S ribosomal RNA". It matches the Rfam family "Bacterial small subunit ribosomal RNA", at positions 524 to 776 of the family's 1533-position model. The record is from RNAcentral.